Molecule: ribosomal RNA, 195 nt
Filed under: uncultured bacterium
Lineage: Bacteria
Also listed under: 1 other name
Description: partial 16S ribosomal RNA
Rfam family: Bacterial small subunit ribosomal RNA
Source: RNAcentral
UCUACGGGAGGCAGCAGUGGGGAAUAUUGCACAAUGGGCGCAAGCCUGAUGCAGCCAUGCCGCGUGUAUGAAGAAGGCCUUCGGGUUGUAAAGUACUUUCAGCGGGGAGGAAGGCGAUAAGGUUAAUAACCUUGUCGAUUGACGUUACCCGCAGAAGAAGCACCGGCUAACUCCGUGCCAGCAGCCGCGGUAAUA